AAAUGAAUUGACGGGGACCCGCACAAGCGGUGGAUUAUGUGGUUUAAUUCGAAGCUACGCGCAAAACCUUACCAGCCCUUGACAUGUAUCUCGACCGGAAGAGAGAUCUUCUGGGCAUUUAGGUGGAGAUAACACAGGUGCUGCAUGGCUGUCGUCAGCUCGUGUCGUGAGAUGUUGGGUUAAGUCCCGCAACGAGCGCAACCCUCGCUAUUAUUUGCUAUCAGGUGAAGCUGAGCACUAUAAUAGAACUGCCGGUAAUAAGCCGGAGGAAGGUGGGGAUGACGUCAAGUCCUCAUGGCCCUUACGGGCUGGGCUACACACGUAAUACAAUGGCUGUGACAAAGAGAACCGAAGUGGUAAAACACGGAGGAAAUCUGUAAAAAGCAGUCUCAGUUCGGAUUGUCUUCUGCAACUCGAAGGCAUGAAGUUGGAAUCGCUAGUAAUCGCAGAUCAGCACGCUGCGGUGAAUACGUUCUCGGGUCUUGUACACACCGCCCGU
This 499-nucleotide ribosomal RNA is filed under the name uncultured bacterium. RNAcentral's name for it is "bacterial SSU rRNA". It matches the Rfam family "Bacterial small subunit ribosomal RNA", at positions 903 to 1397 of the family's 1533-position model. The record is from RNAcentral.